This is a non-coding RNA of Phrynosoma platyrhinos (Desert horned lizard), 72 nucleotides long. The record is from the annotation of a GenBank genome assembly. Lineage: Eukaryota; Metazoa; Chordata; Lepidosauria; Squamata; Phrynosomatidae.
GCCAGUGUGGUGUUAUGGUUUUGACACUGGACUACAACCCUGGAGACCUGAGUUCGAAUCCCAACUCAGCCA